RNAcentral lists this non-coding RNA (181 nucleotides) under Paramoeba aestuarina. The record is from RNAcentral. Lineage: Eukaryota; Discosea; Flabellinia; Dactylopodida; Paramoebidae.
UCUUGUGGUUCCUUCUUCUUCUCGUUCUCAUUCUUCUCUUCUCCUUCCAUCCUCUGGUGAGUGUGUUUGGUUUAAACAAAAAGGAAAACCCUCCUGGCCAGCAAGAAUUGCAAUGAAAUCUGAAAUUCCUCCUUCUCUUUUACCCUUCAAAGGGGAAAAUACACACGUGAUUACUUUCUUU